Molecule: small RNA, 674 nt
Filed under: Cryptococcus neoformans H99
Lineage: Eukaryota; Fungi; Basidiomycota; Tremellomycetes; Tremellales; Cryptococcaceae
Description: Cryptococcus neoformans var. grubii H99 hypothetical RNA
Source: RNAcentral
CAUGACGAUACCUUUUCCAUCCCCAUCCUUGAAUUGCCUCGCCUUGGAGGAAGCUUGACAUGGACCCCACGACGUCUGGCAGCAACCACCAACGCCAUGAUCAUGACUGCCAUCUCAUGCUCCCCUCCCCGCACCACAUUCAACGGAUCGACUACGGACAGGUCCAUCCCUAGAAUAUCAUCCGCCAACACUCCAAGGACACAUUUGAUGACGACGAGUUCGUCGUCGGAUGUUUGACAUAGUCGGGUAGAGUGUGGAAGAGGGAGACGGGUUUUGAGGAUGGUCUCAAGGGUAAGCAGGAGGAGCGAGGGGGGGAUGGCGGUGAGCGAGGGUGGGUGAAUAGGGAUGUGGAGGGCGGUGAGGAGUUGGUGGAAGAGAGGGAGAGGGGGUGUCGGCAUGGAGAAGGUUUGAAUGGAUGGAUGAGAAAUGACAGAAAACUGGGCGAAGAAUGAAUGAUAACUGAAGAACCAAGCAUAGCGCGUCUGAGUCGAGGAACAAACAAACAAAGACAUGACAAAACACUGGCGUUUGGGACUAAGGCAAGAAUCAUACUGCCAACUGCCGAGAAACUCACACACAAGGUCAUUGUCUACUAUUCACCUACGAUAUAUGCACAAGUAGUACAUUUAACGUAAUUGCUGUGAUAUGGACCAUUACAAGAAUCAGAGAUUGCA